Molecule: ribosomal RNA, 279 nt
Filed under: uncultured bacterium
Lineage: Bacteria
Description: partial 16S ribosomal RNA
Rfam family: Bacterial small subunit ribosomal RNA
Source: RNAcentral
UGCCAGCCGCCGCGGUAAUACGGAGGGUGCAAGCGUUGUUCGGAAUCACUGGGCAUAAAGCGCACGUAGGCGGGAAACCAAGUCGGGUGUGAAACCCCUCGGCCCAACCGAGGAACUGCGCCCGAAACUGGUUUUCUUGAGGACAGAAGGGGAGCAUGGAAUUCCUGGUGGAGCGGUGAAAUGCGUUGAUAUCAGGAGGAACACCGGCGGCGAAGGCGAUGCUCUGGUCUGUUUCUGACGCUAAGGUGCGAAAGCCAGGGGAGCAAACGGGAUUAGAUA